UCGAAACUGGCAGGCUUGAGUCUUGUAGAGGGGGGUAGAAUUCCAGGUGUAGCGGUGAAAUGCGUAGAGAUCUGGAGGAAUACCGGUGGCGAAGGCGGCCCCCUGGACAAAGACUGACGCUCAGGUGCGAAAGCGUGGGGAGCAAACAGGAUUAGAUACCCUGGUAGUCCACGCCGUAAACGAUGUCUACUUGGAGGUUGUGCCCUUGAGGCGUGGCUUCCGGAGCUAACGCGUUAAGUAGACCGCCUGGGGAGUACGGCCGCAAGGUUAAAACUCAAAUGAAUUGACGGGGGCCCGCACAAGCGGUGGAGCAUGUGGUUUAAUUCGAUGCAACGCGAAGAACCUUACCUGGUCUUGACAUCCACAGAAGAAUCCAGAGAUGGAUUUGUGCCUUCGGGAACUGUGAGACAGGUGCUGCAUGGCUGUCGUCAGCUCGUGUUGUGAAAUGUUGGGUUAAGUCCCGCAACGAGCGCAAC
This 476-nucleotide ribosomal RNA is filed under the name Salmonella enterica subsp. enterica. RNAcentral describes it as "bacterial SSU rRNA". It matches the Rfam family "Bacterial small subunit ribosomal RNA", at positions 627 to 1102 of the family's 1533-position model. The record is from RNAcentral. Lineage: Bacteria; Pseudomonadati; Pseudomonadota; Gammaproteobacteria; Enterobacterales; Enterobacteriaceae.